GGCCGUGUGGCGAAAUGGCAUCGCGUCUGACUACGAAUCAGGCUGACAACCAUGUGUUAAUCAGGAGAUUGCAGGUUCGACCCCUGUCUCGGUCA
RNAcentral lists this transfer RNA (95 nucleotides) under Laccaria amethystina LaAM-08-1. It matches the Rfam family "tRNA". Rfam says of the family: Transfer RNA (tRNA) molecules are approximately 80 nucleotides in length. Lineage: Eukaryota; Fungi; Basidiomycota; Agaricomycetes; Agaricales; Hydnangiaceae. The record is from Rfam by way of RNAcentral.